Molecule: ribosomal RNA, 476 nt
Filed under: Schistosoma incognitum
Lineage: Eukaryota; Metazoa; Platyhelminthes; Trematoda; Strigeidida; Schistosomatidae
Description: partial 28S large subunit ribosomal RNA
Source: RNAcentral
GGAGUUGAACUGCAAGCUCUGGGAAUUCAGCUGAUGAGUGUGAUUUGUGCUUGGGCAUACUGGCCGCCUUCAGUGUCUGUUUAACCUCAGGUGCCUGCUUUUUGGUGGGUAUGUGUGAUUCGUUUGUAUACGACGCACGCACUGUUGGUGUGAGGGUCUGCUUGUCAGUGCACUUUCUCAGGGUGUUCACCACGACCGGCGCUGCUGCCUGUCUGCUAUGGUCAAACUGAUCAGGCCUGAUUUCUGUCGGGCUUGGUUGGGUCGGCAGGUGACCCUUUGGCUCAUUCGUGGGCUAUGAGUGUUACUAACCGGCUGUAGUGGAGCUGUGCGGUGUGUCGGAGAUGGCGGCUUCGCAUGCGUGCUUUGACCUUCGGGCAUUGUCGAGUCUGGUCGGCUUGUUACUAGCUUCGGCUGGUCGGCUGAUGGCUUGGUUUUGUCGCGUUGGCAGUUGCGUGUGUGAUUUGUACUGGGCCAAU